AUGUCACAGUUGCACGCUAUUAACGUACAACCUUUCUUCCCAAUUGAAAGUGCUUUACAACCCUAAGGCCUUCUUCACACACGCGGCAUGGCUGCGUCAGGCUUUCGCCCAUUGCGCAAUAUUCCCC
Molecule: ribosomal RNA, 127 nt
Filed under: uncultured bacterium
Lineage: Bacteria
Description: partial 16S ribosomal RNA
Source: RNAcentral